RNAcentral lists this ribosomal RNA (426 nucleotides) under Vibrio campbellii. RNAcentral describes it as "bacterial SSU rRNA". It matches the Rfam family "Bacterial small subunit ribosomal RNA", at positions 258 to 676 of the family's 1533-position model. Lineage: Bacteria; Pseudomonadati; Pseudomonadota; Gammaproteobacteria; Vibrionales; Vibrionaceae. The record is from RNAcentral. RNAcentral also lists the same sequence under 1 other name.
UAAGGGCUCACCAAGGCGACGAUCCCUAGCUGGUCUGAGAGGAUGAUCAGCCACACUGGAACUGAGACACGGUCCAGACUCCUACGGGAGGCAGCAGUGGGGAAUAUUGCACAAUGGGCGCAAGCCUGAUGCAGCCAUGCCGCGUGUGUGAAGAAGGCCUUCGGGUUGUAAAGCACUUUCAGUCGUGAGGAAGGUAGUGUAGUUAAUAGCUGCAUUAUUUGACGUUAGCGACAGAAGAAGCACCGGCUAACUCCGUGCCAGCAGCCGCGGUAAUACGGAGGGUGCGAGCGUUAAUCGGAAUUACUGGGCGUAAAGCGCAUGCAGGUGGUUUGUUAAGUCAGAUGUGAAAGCCCGGGGCUCAACCUCGGAAUUGCAUUUGAAACUGGCAGACUAGAGUACUGUAGAGGGGGGUAGAAUUUCAGGUGU